CCUACGGGUGGCAGCAGUGGGGAAUAUUGCACAAUGGGGGAAACCCUGAUGCAGCAACGCCGCGUGAAGGAAGACGGUUUUCGGAUUGUAAACUUCUGUUCUUAGUGAAGAAUAAUGACGGUAGCUAAGGAGCAAGCCACGACUAACUACGUGCCAGCAGCCGCGGUAAUACGUAGGGAGCAAGCGUUAUCCGGAUUUAUUGGGUGUAAAGGGUGCGUAGACGGAGAAGCAAGUUAGUUGUGAAAUCCCUCGGCUUAACUGAGGAACUGCAACUAAAACUACUUCCCUUGAGUACUGGAGAGGAAAGUGGAAUUCCUAGUGUAGCGGUGAAAUGCGUAGAUAUUAGGAGGAACACCAGUGGCGAAGGCGACUUUCUGGACAGUAACUGACGUUGAGGCACGAAAGUGUGGGGAGCAAACAGGAUUAGAUACCCGAGUAGUC
Molecule: ribosomal RNA, 441 nt
Filed under: uncultured bacterium
Lineage: Bacteria
Description: partial 16S ribosomal RNA
Rfam family: Bacterial small subunit ribosomal RNA
Source: RNAcentral